GAUGAACGCUGGCGGCGUGCCUAAUACAUGCAAGUCGAGCGGAAAGAUGAGGAGCUUGCUCCUCAGACGUUAGAGGCGGGCGGGUAAGGGACGCGUGACAAACCUACCUAUAGGACUGGAAUAGCUUCGGAAAACCGGAGCCAAUACCGAAUAAUAUAUAGAACCGCAGGGUGCAAUAGUGGGAGACGGAUUUGCUGUCAGUGAUAGGUGGAUCCGCGCCGCCUUAGCAAGUUGGUAAGGUAACGGCAUACCAAGGCAACGGUGGGUAGGCGUCCGGAGAGUGUGAUCGUCCACGCUGGAACUGAGACAGGGCCCAGACUCCGACUGGAGCCAGCAGUAGGGAAUCUUCCUCAUGGGGAGAAAGCCUGACGCUGCAACGCCGCGGGAGGGAUGAAGGUCUCCGGAUUGGAAUUCUCUGUUACUAUCGAAGAACAGAUGUCUAACUAAUUAGGCGCGUCUUGACGGUACCGGAACAAAAAGCACCGGCUAACUACGUG
This 497-nucleotide ribosomal RNA is filed under the name uncultured bacterium. RNAcentral describes it as "partial 16S ribosomal RNA". It matches the Rfam family "Bacterial small subunit ribosomal RNA", at positions 28 to 507 of the family's 1533-position model. The record is from RNAcentral.